Molecule: ribosomal RNA, 462 nt
Filed under: uncultured bacterium
Lineage: Bacteria
Description: partial 16S ribosomal RNA
Rfam family: Bacterial small subunit ribosomal RNA
Source: RNAcentral
GACGAACGCUGGCGGCGUGCUUAACACAUGCAAGUCGAGCGGAAAGGCCCUUCGUGGUACUCGAGCGGCGCACGGGUGAGUAACACGUGAGUAACCUUCCCUAGUCUUUGGGAUAACCCUCGGAAACGGCGGCUAAUACCGUAUACUCCUUCUAAAUCUCAUGUUUUGGUGGGGAAGGUUUUUCUGUCUGGGAUGGUCUCGCGACCUAUCAGCUUGGUGGUGGGGUAAUGGCGUACCAAGGCGAGGACGCGUAGCCGGCCUGCGAGGGCGACCGGCCACCCUGGGCCUGGGACACGGCCCAGCCUCCUCUGGGACGCAGCGGUGGAGAAUAUUACACAGUGCGCGGAAGCCUGAUGCAGCGACGCCGCGUGGGGGAUGACGGCCAUCGGGUAGUAAGCCUAUUCCAGCAGGGACGAAGCGUAAGUGACGGUACCUGCAGAAGAAGCGCCGGCCAACUACGUG